Molecule: ribosomal RNA, 515 nt
Filed under: uncultured bacterium
Lineage: Bacteria
Description: partial 16S ribosomal RNA
Rfam family: Bacterial small subunit ribosomal RNA
Source: RNAcentral
GAUGAACGCUGGCGGCGUGCCUAAUACAUGCAAGUCGAGCGAAUGGAUUAAGAGCUUGCUCUUAUGAAGUUAGCGGCGGACGGGUGAGUAACACGUGGGUAGCCUGCCCAUAAGACUGGGAUAACUCCGGGAAGCCGGGGCUAAUACCGGAUAACAUUUUGAACCGCAUGGUUCGAAAUUGAAAGGCGGCUUCGGCUGUCACUUAUGGAUGGACCCGCGUCGCAUUAGCUAGUUGGUGAGGUAACGGCUCACCAAGGCAACGAUGCGUAGCCGAACUGAGAGGUUGAUCGGCCACACUGGGACUGAGACAGGUCCCAGACUCCUACGGGAGGCAGCAGUAGGGAAUCUUCCGCAAUGGACGAAAGUCUGACGGAGCAACGCCGCGUGAGUGACGAAGGCUUUCGGGUCGUAAAACUCUGUUGUUAGGGAAGAACAAGUGCUAGUUGAAUAAGCUGGCACCUUGACGGUACCUAACCAGAAAGCCACGGCUAACUACGUGCCAGCAGCCGCAGUAA